GUCAGCUCCACAUGAGAGCAAUGUCCCAGAUGAAGAGAGGACCUCUUCCCCACUCUGCUGACCCCGCUCCUGCUCCCUGGCCAAUGCAUGGCCUGGGCUUUGCACUCUCCCGCGUCCUGCUCUGCUGUCAUACCCCCGAAGGACUGGAGGCUUGGGAGAGGUGGGGAGGUGUUGCUCCCCAACGUACUCCCCGGGAAACACCUCGAAUUCAAAUUUCUGUCCCAGAAUCUAUUUCCCAGAGUGUCUGACUUCAGAGAGUUGGUACCAGAAGUGGAGUGAUCUAAGGAAGCAGACUAAAGUGGGACUCUGGAGCUUCAUCACCCACUCCCUGGGUGGCGGACAGAAGGAGGACCGGAAGCAGCUCACAUCCAUGUGGAAUGGACAACACUGUACAUUUACAGUCUCCCCCCCCGGCGUACAUUGACUCUUCUAUUCUCUGACAUAACAUAGUCUAAAGAGAUUUGGACCAUCUAGACAUUCCACAGAACAUCACGUUGCUCAACUAUAUUAAUGACUUCUCAUUAAUCCGUGAGUAACGAGCAAGAAGUAGCAAGUACCUUGGAGAUCUUGAUAAGGCCCAAGUACUCCAGAGGAUGGGAGAUAAUCCCCAUGAAGAUUCAGGGUCUUGCCACAUCCAUGUUAAUGGGUUCUGGGAACGGCCAGGACAUCCUCUCCAAAGCAAAGGGCAAAUUAUUGUAUCUUGCACCUGACACCAAGACAAAAGUACACCACCCGGAAAGCCUCUUCAGGGUCUGGAUUCAGCAUAUUUCACACAUGAGAAGAACGUGCCAAGCCAAUUCCCAAGUGUCACAAAAGAUUGCCAGCUUUGAAUGGAGCCUGGAGCAGAUAGUGCU
Molecule: long non-coding RNA, 854 nt
Filed under: Equus caballus (horse)
Lineage: Eukaryota; Metazoa; Chordata; Mammalia; Perissodactyla; Equidae
Description: lncRNA (ENSECAG00000052197.1)
Source: RNAcentral